CAAUAGCGUAUAUUAAAGUUGUUGCAGUUAAAAAGCUCGUAGUUGGAUAUCUGUUUUGAAUAUCCGGUCCGUCUCAUUGAGAUGCGUACUAUGGAUGUUUGAAUCAUUUUUUGUGAGAAUUUUAUUCUGACAUUAAGUUGUCGGUUUAGAAGGCUUGCAUCGUUUACUGUGAAAAAAUUAGAGUGUUUCAAGCAGGCGUUUGCUUUCGAAUACAUUAGCAUGGAAUAAUAAGAUAUGACUAGCGUGGUCUAUUUUGUUGGUUUGCACACGCAAGUAAUGAUUAAUAGGGACAGUUGGGGGUAUUCAUAUUAGCGCGUCAGAGGUGAAAUUCUUGGAUCGCGGUAAGAUGAGCUUAGGCGAAAGCAUUUACCAAGGAUGUUUUCAUUAAU
Molecule: ribosomal RNA, 389 nt
Filed under: uncultured eukaryote
Lineage: Eukaryota
Description: partial 18S ribosomal RNA
Rfam family: Eukaryotic small subunit ribosomal RNA
Source: RNAcentral